Molecule: long non-coding RNA, 491 nt
Filed under: Ananas comosus (pineapple)
Lineage: Eukaryota; Viridiplantae; Streptophyta; Magnoliopsida; Poales; Bromeliaceae
Description: long non-coding RNA (ACOM_LNC035861)
Source: RNAcentral
GACUCCAAACCCGAGACCCGAAUCCGAACCCGAAUCCGACGGAUUUUAAAAAUCCAUAUCCAAAUCCGAACCCGAUCAAAAAUCCGAAACCCGAACCUGAACCCGAACCCGAAAAUUUGAACCCGAAACAUUCAUUUCUUUUUUCAAUAUUUCAAAAUAUAUUAUAUUAAAUCUAAAUUUUUAAAAUACAAAUUCAAAUAUAACAUCAAAUUUAUAUAUAUAUAUUAUAUAUAAUACAAAAUAAAUUCGGGUUCGGGUCGGGUUCGGGUCCGGGUCGGGUCGGGUAUAAUCAAAAUCCAUAUCCGAAUCCAUAUCCGUCGGGUUUCUAUUUUUUAUAUCCAUAUCCGAAUCUAUAUCCAUAUCCAUCGAAUAUAUCCGUUUCAUUCAGGUUCAGGUUCGGAUAAAAUUUCAGGUAUCCAUACCCAUUGACAUCCCUAAUCUUUACUAGUUUGAAUGAUACAAGUACUAUUCACAUAAAUUAAUAUUCUAUU